AGCGUAGACGGCAAUGCAAGUCUGAAGUGAAAGGCCGGGGCUCAACCCCGGGACUGCUUUGGAAACUGUGUAGCUGGAGUACAGGAGAGGUAAGUGGAAUUCCUAGUGUAGCGGUGAAAUGCGUAGAUAUUAGGAGGAACACCAGUGGCGAAGGCGGCUUACUGGACUGUAACUGACGUUGAGGCUCGAAAGCGUGGGGAGCAAACA
Molecule: ribosomal RNA, 207 nt
Filed under: uncultured bacterium
Lineage: Bacteria
Description: partial 16S ribosomal RNA
Rfam family: Bacterial small subunit ribosomal RNA
Source: RNAcentral